GUCUGGUUGAUUCCGAUAACGAACGAGACUCUGGCCUGCUAACUAGUUCGUCCGUCGGGUCACCCUCGCGUGGUCGGCCGGCGGUCGCUGCUCUCGACGCCGCUCUCGUUUGGUCACUGGGAAUCGGUCGCUAUCUUGUGGCUGAGCCUCGGUGGUCGGGCGUUGGCGGUGCUGAGCAAAUUCGAACUUCUUAGAGGGACUAAUGGCUUUCAGUCAUGCGAGAAUGAGCAAUAACAGGUCUGUGAUGCCCUUAGAUGUCCGGGGCUGCACGCGCGCUACAAUGAAUGAAUCAGCGCGAGUUAUCUCCUGCUCCGAGAGGAGUGGGCAAUCAAGUGAACCUCAUUCGUGAUAGGGACUGUGCAUUGCAAUUUUUGCACAUUAACUAGGAAUUCCUAGUAAGCGCGAGUCACUAGCUCGCGUUGAUUACGUCCCUGCCCUUUGUACACACCGCCCGUCGCUACUACCGAUUGGACGUUGCAGUGAGGCUUUCGGAUCGUACCCAAGCUGUUGGUGGUUCCUUCACGGGCGCCGCCGAUGCCUAUCAGGCGUGCCGAGAAGACUGUCGAACUGCUACGUCUAGAGGUCGUAAAAGUCGUAACAAGGUUUCCGUA
This 611-nucleotide ribosomal RNA is filed under the name Bradabyssa villosa. RNAcentral describes it as "SSU rRNA". It matches the Rfam family "Eukaryotic small subunit ribosomal RNA", at positions 1313 to 1807 of the family's 1831-position model. The record is from RNAcentral. Lineage: Eukaryota; Metazoa; Annelida; Polychaeta; Terebellida; Flabelligeridae.